This 496-nucleotide ribosomal RNA is filed under the name uncultured bacterium. Its description in RNAcentral is "partial 16S ribosomal RNA". It matches the Rfam family "Bacterial small subunit ribosomal RNA", at positions 30 to 523 of the family's 1533-position model. The record is from RNAcentral.
AUUGAACGCUGGCGGAAUGCUUUACACAUGCAAGUCGAACGGUAGAGGGGGCAACCCCUCGAGAGUGGCGAACGGGUGAGUAAUAUAUUGGAACGUGCCCAGUCGUGGGGGAUAACGUAGCGAAAGUUACGCUAAUACCGCAUACGAUCUAAGGAUGAAAGCGGGGGAUCGCAAGACCUCGCGCGAUUGGAGCGGCCGAGAUCAGAUUAGGUAGUUGGUGGGGGAAAGACACACCAAGCCAACGAACUGUAGCUGGUCUGAGAGGACGACCAGCCACACUGGAACUGAGAAACGGUCCAGACUCCUACGGGAGGCAGCAGUGGGGAAUUAUGGACAAUGGACGCAAGUCUGAUCCAGCCAUUCCGCGUGCAGGAUGAAGACCCUCGGGUUGUAAACUGCUUUUGUACGGAACGAAAAGGUCUCUCUUAAUACGGGGGGCUCAUGACGGUACCGUAAGAAUAAGCACCGGCUAACUACGUGCCAGCCGCCGCGGUAA